Molecule: ribosomal RNA, 104 nt
Filed under: Pogona vitticeps (central bearded dragon)
Lineage: Eukaryota; Metazoa; Chordata; Lepidosauria; Squamata; Agamidae
Source: RNAcentral
ACCAUACCAUCCUGAAUGUACUCACCCUCUUGUGAUUUCAAAAGCUAUGUUGUGUUGGACCUGGCUAAUACUUCAGUUGGAGACCAACAGGGAAUCCCAGGGAU